AGGCUGCAACCCGCCUGCAUGAAGUCGGAAUUGCUAGUAAUCGCGGAUCAGCAUGCCGCGGUGAAUACGUUCCCGGGCCUUGUACACACCGCCCGUCACACCAUGGGAGCCGGUAAUACCCGAAGUCAGUAGUCCAACCUCGUGAGGACGCUGCCGAAGGUAGGAUUGGCGACUGGGGUGAAGUCGUAACAAGGUAGC
Molecule: ribosomal RNA, 198 nt
Filed under: uncultured bacterium
Lineage: Bacteria
Description: partial 16S ribosomal RNA
Rfam family: Bacterial small subunit ribosomal RNA
Source: RNAcentral